GAUGAACGCUGACAGAAUGCUUAACACAUGCAAGUCGAUGGGGAAGUGGUGCUUGCACCAUGGUAACCAUGGCGGACGGGUGAGUAACACGUAAGGAACUUACCUGCGGGACCGGGAUAACAGCAGGAAACUGCUGACAAGACCGGAUAAGGUCAUUAAGCUGCAUAGCUUAGUGAUGAAAGGAGACGCCUGCGGAGAGCCUUGCGUCCUAUUAGCUAGUUGGAGGGGUAACGGCCCACCAAGGCGAAGAUAGGUAGCCGGCCUGAGAGGGUGGACGGCCACAAGGGGACUGAGAUACGGCCCUUACUCCUACGGGAGGCAGCAGUGGGGAAUAUUGGACAAUGGGGGCAACACUGAUCCAGCAAUUCUGUGUGCACGAAGACGGUUUUCGGAUUGUAAAGUGCUUUCAGCAGGGAAGAAGGAAGUGACGGUACCUACAGAAGAAGCGACGGCUAAAUACGUG
Molecule: ribosomal RNA, 463 nt
Filed under: uncultured bacterium
Lineage: Bacteria
Description: partial 16S ribosomal RNA
Rfam family: Bacterial small subunit ribosomal RNA
Source: RNAcentral